AUUUUCACACACACACACAGCAGUUGCUCUUUAAAUAUAUAUAUACGUGUGUGUGUGUCUUGUGGUGUAUAUAUUAUAGGGUGUCGAAAUAAUUGUGUACGUUGUAUAUUUUUAGGGAAUUGCAGAGAGAAGGUUUUAUUAAAAAGGUAAAUUAAACCAGUGAAAUAUGUUGUCCAGCCUUGUUAAACAGCAUUUGACUCAACAACAAGCCAGGAAGGAACUGCAAGAAAAAAGGAAAGCAGAAGUAUGGCAUCAGCAACUGCCCUCACCCAUGCUCUGGUUGACCAUCUGAAUUCGGGGUGAAUACCAUUUUAUUUUCAUUUCUUUAUUUGUUUGUUUUAAAUCUCUUUAAAUUGUUUUAGGGUCUCCUUGCCUACCUGACGUCAUCGAAACAGCAAUAAUUCCUUGGAAGCCA
This is a long non-coding RNA of Octopus sinensis (East Asian common octopus), 415 nucleotides long. RefSeq lists it as uncharacterized. NCBI's taxonomy places the organism in Eukaryota, Metazoa, Mollusca, Cephalopoda, Octopoda, Octopodidae. The transcript is spliced from 3 exons. The record is from RefSeq and is a predicted model, not a curated record.